UGUGUAUUAUUUAUACAUAAAUCCACUACAGAAUAUUGACUGUAUCUACAGCUUUGAAGUAGUUUGUAUAUAUGAAUCCAACAGCAGAAGCCUUAGGGGUUUGCCAUACAAUAUCUCCGUCUCUUUGCUCUGCUGAUCAUAUACAUAUGUAUGUCACAACCCCAGUGUUUACCUCAUGCUUCUGCUGUUCAGCUGUAGUUGUGUUACUGCCCCAGUGCUUAGUGAUUUUCAGACAAAGGAAAUCCCAGUUAUCAGUCGCGUCCACCCCCUGCAGCUCCUCUCCUGACGGGCCGAUCGAUGGCUCCUGAAAUCAAUAGGCUUAUUAAAGCUGCGGUUGAGUGAGGAACAAAGCUCAUUAUCCUGACUCUGUCUCAGAUCAGCCUGACUGGCAGAAGAGGUCACGAGGAGAUGUCACAGGUCACGGCGAGCCGCGAAUUACGCUUUAGCCUGAACAUUUUGACAUGCACCCAAUGACUGCCAUAGAGAGAGAGAGUCAUGUGACCCGGCAGAAAAAUUCAAUUAGAGCACGGAGGUUACAAGUUCUUGGAAACCGAAGGGAUGACAUUUUCAGCAACCUCUGCCAAACCCAUUUGACCUGAAGUACCCCCUGGUGUUUUAAGGGCUUGAAUUCUUACUGCCACAUGUGGAGGAUGGCAUGAGACACUGCGCUUCUGUCCGAGAGAGAGCGUGUGUUGAGCGAUGGAGAGCUGAGGUUGGAGGAGAGAGCGGGUCACCUAGAGGUUAAAAACAGCCCAGAGACACGUGGCACGCCCGUAGGGUUAUUAAAGGCGGUUUACACGAGUCCUGUGAAAGAGGUAUUCAUUAACCGAGAUGUUUACAUGGUGACUAAAGCUGAACGAUUCUAUCAGUUCAACUCAACUCGAGCUCAGUGAAACCAUUAAUGGUUUACAGCAGCGACUGCAUGAUGACCUAAACGAAUGACUGCAGUGUUGAUGCCCUUGGCGUCCUUCAAACUGAUUAUUCUGAUGUAAUGCAAUCACACUUAAUGAAUAAUUCACUCCAAAAUGAAACUUUUGUAAUUAUUUACUUGUCCUCGUGUCAUUGCAUGGAAAAGAGUUGCUUCAGAACUUCGGGUUUGGAUUGUUAGGGUACGUUUACACCACAGCGAUGUGCUAAAAACAGAAAAGUUUUUCUUAAAACUUUGUCAAAAUGAUCCUUGUUAAUGAGAAAAAAGCUUAAAACGCUGUAUAAUGCAAUGUCAGGCCAGUAGUAUGCGAUGUCAUUUUAUAAAGAAACACAUGACACAGAUGUGUAUGAUGUCACCGUUUUCACUAAUUGAGAUUUUGUAGUUUACAUUAAGAUGAUAACGGUAUUGUUUUUAAAAGCUUGCACUUUGAAAUCCGUUUUCAUAAGUUUGCAUAUUCAGAACAAAUGCAUAGAAAGUUUUCCAUUUUUGAUUGAAAAUUUGUAGUUUGUAGUACUGAUGUUCACCAAACUAAUGGGUUAACUGAUUUGGCUUGGGUUAAUUAGUGUAAACAGGUGAUGCUGGUUAAUUAGAGCCUUAAAAAACCCUUUGUUUGAGGUGCUUUGGUAAAGAAAUAAGCAGGAGAGAAUGAGUGUGAAUAUCUAGAGAUUGUGUUAGAAAAAUCAAGAAGUAAGGGAGACAGUGCUUUAGUUCUUCUGGGGUUUUAUUGUCUUUAAAGACAAAGACUUAGAAAUCUAUUCUUUUGAGUUUAUUUAUUAUUAUUUAUUAUAUUAUUUUUUUUUUUAAGGAUUCAGUUGGUAUGUGAAUGAAGGAAAAUGUCUCUAUUAGUUGAGCUUCAAAAUCUUUAGUUUUGGGACUCAUAACUGCAUUUAAUGCAUAUAUUGAAACACUAGAAUUGAACUAAACUCUUUUAAAACCUGAACUAGAUAUGUUCAAACAGGCACAAAAUCUAAUUUUUGAGA
This is a long non-coding RNA of Cyprinus carpio (common carp), 1908 nucleotides long. RefSeq lists it as uncharacterized. Lineage: Eukaryota; Metazoa; Chordata; Actinopteri; Cypriniformes; Cyprinidae. The record is from RefSeq and is a predicted model, not a curated record.